RNAcentral lists this long non-coding RNA (487 nucleotides) under Acyrthosiphon pisum (pea aphid). Its description in RNAcentral is "uncharacterized LOC115033755, transcript variant X2". Lineage: Eukaryota; Metazoa; Arthropoda; Insecta; Hemiptera; Aphididae. The record is from RNAcentral.
CGUGUAAUAUGAUAUUAUUAUAUUAUAUAGGCAGGUACAUAAUUGUAUAUUAUAUUUGUAGUUUGUACAGUUUUCGUGUUCGUUUCAUACGUCCGCGUGGACACGAUGAUUAUCACGUCAUAUUAUAUUGCAUUUGACAAGCAUUUUCCUAAGCCGACCAACAACAAUUAUUUUGGGUCUUAUGCGAUACAUUGAUGGCCAUCGUUCGGAAGAUGCACUCUAUAAAACUGUGAAUUCCGGUCGAAUAUAAUCGUUUUCGGUGACAUAAACAUUUGACGUUCGAAAUUGAAUUUAUCAACCAUCACGAGGCGGAAUGUCAUCGCUCCUGCACUUCACUUCAUCCAGUGUCCGUCAACGUGUUAAACAACCCCUAUCCCUGCAGCCACGAGGCGAAAGAGAGAGGGUUUUUUUGUGGUCGACAAUCGUGAUAUGAUUUGUUUUUCCGUAACGUUUUUAAUAAUUUACAAUCAUAAACUUCCAUAACCUA